RNAcentral lists this ribosomal RNA (724 nucleotides) under Salmonella enterica. RNAcentral describes it as "partial 23S ribosomal RNA". It matches the Rfam family "Bacterial large subunit ribosomal RNA", at positions 2079 to 2802 of the family's 2925-position model. Lineage: Bacteria; Pseudomonadati; Pseudomonadota; Gammaproteobacteria; Enterobacterales; Enterobacteriaceae. The record is from RNAcentral. RNAcentral also lists the same sequence under 1 other name.
GACGGAAAGACCCCGUGAACCUUUACUAUAGCUUGACACUGAACAUUGAGCCUUGAUGUGUAGGAUAGGUGGGAGGCUUUGAAGUGUGGACGCCAGUCUGCAUGGAGCCGACCUUGAAAUACCACCCUUUAAUGUUUGAUGUUCUAACGUGGACCCGUUACCCGGGUUGCGGACAGUGUCUGGUGGGUAGUUUGACUGGGGCGGUCUCCUCCUAAAGAGUAACGGAGGAGCACGAAGGUUGGCUAAUCCUGGUCGGACAUCAGGAGGUUAGUGCAAUGGCAUAAGCCAGCUUGACUGCGAGCGUGACGGCGCGAGCAGGUGCGAAAGCAGGUCAUAGUGAUCCGGUGGUUCUGAAUGGAAGGGCCAUCGCUCAACGGAUAAAAGGUACUCCGGGGAUAACAGGCUGAUACCGCCCAAGAGUUCAUAUCGACGGCGGUGUUUGGCACCUCGAUGUCGGCUCAUCACAUCCUGGGGCUGAAGUAGGUCCCAAGGGUAUGGCUGUUCGCCAUUUAAAGUGGUACGCGAGCUGGGUUUAGAACGUCGUGAGACAGUUCGGUCCCUAUCUGCCGUGGGCGCUGGAGAACUGAGGGGGGCUGCUCCUAGUACGAGAGGACCGGAGUGGACGCAUCACUGGUGUUCGGGUUGUCAUGCCAAUGGCACUGCCCGGUAGCUAAAUGCGGAAGAGAUAAGUGCUGAAAGCAUCUAAGCACGAAACUUGCCCCGA